CCUGGCUCAGGAUGAACGCUAGCGACAGGCUUAACACAUGCAAGUCGAGGGGCAGCACAGGUAGCAAUACCGGGUGGCGACCGGCGCACGGGUGAGUAACGCGUAUGCAACUUACCUAUCAGAGGGGGAUAACCCGGCGAAAGUCGGACUAAUACCGCAUGAAGCAGGGGCCCCGCAUGGGGAUAUUUGCUAAAGAUUCAUCGCUGAUAGAUAGGCAUGCGUUCCAUUAGGCAGUUGGCGGGGUAACGGCCCACCAAACCGACGAUGGAUAGGGGUUCUGAGAGGAAGGUCCCCCACAUUGGUACUGAGACACGGACCAAACUCCUACGGGAGGCAGCAGUGAGGAAUAUUGGUCAAUGGGCGUAAGCCUGAACCAGCCAAGUCGCGUGAGGGAUGAAGGUUCUAUGGAUCGUAAACCUCUUUUAUAAGGGAAUAAAGUGCGGGACGUGUCCCGUUUUGUAUGUACCUUAUGAAUAAGGAUCGGCUAACUCCGUGCCAGCAGCCGCGGUAAUACGGAGGAUCCGAGCGUUAUCCGGAUUUAUUGGGUUUAAAGGGUGCGUAGGCGGCCUUUUAAGUCAGCGGUGAAAGUCUGUGGCUCAACCAUAGAAUUGCCGUUGAAACUGGGAGGCUUGAGUAUGUUUGAGGCAGGCGGAAUGCGUGGUGUAGCGGUGAAAUGCUUAGAUAUCACGCAGAACCCCGAUUGCGAAGGCAGCCUGCCAAGCCAUGACUGACGCUGAUGCACGAAAGCGUGGGGAUCAAACAGGAUUAGAUACCCUGGUAGUCCACGCAGUAAACGAUGAUCACUAGCUGUUUGCGAUACAGUGUAAGCGGCACAGCGAAAGCGUUAAGUGAUCCACCUGGGGAGUACGCCGGCAACGGUGAAACUCAAAGGAAUUGACGGGGGCCCGCACAAGCGGAGGAACAUGUGGUUUAAUUCGAUGAUACGCGAGGAACCUUACCCGGGUUUGAACGCAUUCGGACCGAGGUGGAAACACCUUUUCUAGCAAUAGCCGUUUGCGAGGUGCUGCAUGGUUGUCGUCAGCUCGUGCCGUGAGGUGUCGGCUUAAGUGCCAUAACGAGCGCAACCCUUGCCACUAGUUACUAACAGGUAAAGCUGAGGACUCUGGUGGGACUGCCAGCGUAAGCUGCGAGGAAGGCGGGGAUGACGUCAAAUCAGCACGGCCCUUACAUCCGGGGCGACACACGUGUUACAAUGGCGUGGACAAAGGGAAGCCACCUGGCGACAGGGAGCGAAUCCCCAAACCACGUCUCAGUUCGGAUCGGAGUCUGCGAACCCGACUCCGUGAAGCUGGAUUCGCUAGUAAUCGCGCAUCAGCCGUGGCGCGGUGAAUACGUUCCCGGGCCUUGUACACACCGCCC
Molecule: ribosomal RNA, 1380 nt
Filed under: uncultured bacterium
Lineage: Bacteria
Description: bacterial SSU rRNA
Rfam family: Bacterial small subunit ribosomal RNA
Source: RNAcentral